CAGCCGGAGAGCGCGCCCGCGAGUGGGAGCGGGAGGGGAGGCGGGGAGCUGCGGGCGGCGCGGGCUGGACUCAACCAUCCCCGCGGAGGGGCGGGGGCUGCCUCGGCGCGCACGCUGCAGAAGGAGACUCGUUGGCUCGCGUGGGGAAGCCCACGCCGCGCACGGCACGCGGGAGAAACCACGCGAGGGAGCAAGGGAGCGAAGGAGCGGGGCCGCGGGCGAGCCGGGUGCUGCGGGACUCAGGCUGGCCGGCCUCCAUGGACUGCUUUCUCCUUGAGGAGCAGAGCGCCAAGCGAGCCCUGCGUAACUUGGGAAAGAAAAGCGGGUGGACGGGAUGGAGCAAGGGCGCGCUGGGCCCGGACACACUGCUGUCCAAGUGCCUUUCACACCUGGGACAUGCUCUAGAGCAGGGCGCCCGCAGACAGGGAGGCGCCAAGGCCCCAUCUCCUCACUUUUGCUGGAGCAGGAUCGCCGGACAGGAACUUCAGCUCUUAGGAAACCAGACCCCCGUGUGGCGAUCUGGUUGGGAGAGCCGAGCCGCUGGGCGUGCUGGCACAGUCAGGGGAGCCAGUCGGGCACCCAGGGGUCAGGAAGGGGCCUCAGACAGGCCGAGGUCCUCCCCACUGUGCAGAGCCCUGGAGCCAGCAGAGAGGGGAGCGGGAGGCAGCAGCUGUGGCUACUCUCUGCGGGGCCUCACGGGCUCCCUGCCAGGGGCCUCUUGCGGGCCUCCGGCACACUCAGGGCAAGACAGAGAGGUGGUGGUUCAGUGGAAAUAAAGCCUCAGGUCACCGUGGGGGGGGGGGGCUACCACACUCAGAACAUUCCAGCGUCCAGCCACACAACUGCUUGCUGCCCUUCCCACGCGGCUGGCGGCGAGGGGUGGGCCCACGGUGGGCCCACCCUGGGCCCUGGCCCCUGGCCCCUGGCCCCUGGCCCUACACCUGCACCUUCUCAGGCCCUCCAGAGAUGAAAGGGCUUCGCUGCUUCUCCUUCUGCAGGAAUUCUGCCUGCUGUGUGCUCCCUACACUGUGAUCCUGUGGCGUGGCGGUGAACCCAGAAGCCGCGGGGGGACUACAGGCUGCAGAUGUAAGCCCUGAGCGCCAGUUCACCCAGUUCACGGAGGGCUCCUGUGGCCCCUGCGGCCAGAAGCUUUCUCUUCUAGAGGCAGCAGCUUCCAAACUGGAGGAACUGCGUCACAUCUCCAGAAGUGACUCGGGUUGUCCCGGGGCAGGGUCCUUUUUGAUAUUUUUAUUUAUUUUUUGCCUCUGUUAUCCUUGGAGGGAGAACAGAAAAACAAGAGCUCAGGAAACCCCAGAAAUUCCCAGGGGAGAACCGUGGCUUCCACUGUUUAGGCUGAACCAGGGGAAAAGAAGACACCCAGAUGGGCAAAGGCACUUCCAUCUGCUCUGAGCUGUAUUUUAGGAGCCGCAAACUGGAUCUUUCGAGAGAAAAGGAACACAUUCAGUCAGUCUCUCCCGGAGUGUCUCGAGGACGGACCUGCUGUUUAUCAACAUGCCUCUGUGGAAGCUCCCAGAGAUCUCCUCAGGGUUUUACUGUGGUCUUGCCCUCCGAGGCUUAGGGCCUUUCUGGGGAUCCGGACAUUCUGUAGUGAAGAUGCUGGAUUGGCCAAAUCCUGUGAGGCGCCGUGGAAAAGUAAGAUCCUCCAUUUCCUGGACAAGGUGAGGUGCUGGGAAGCAGGCCACAGAACUUGCCUGAGUCUGCAGGGCCAACUUCUGAGGCAUUUGCUUUUACCUCACUCACUCUACAUCCUCCAUCUACUCAUGUGUCCACCGGUUCCUACCAAAAUCCCACUCUAUGGACAAAUUCCUUGUCUGCACCCCAUGUGGAUUCUUGCUGGCUUGGGUUAAUGUGUUAAUUCUUCCAUUUUCUAGCCAGGUGGCCUAGUGCACUUACCUAAGUGCAAAAACUGAUUGCCUACUCCCCAAAAGAAUAUCUAUUUUUUAACUUACAUGAUUGCUGUGAGAAUUCAUUAAGAUGAAAUGUGGAAAAUGUUGAAUUUGAAUUUGAAAAGGAAUGAGAGAUUACCUCCCCCUUUCUCUGUUCUUCUUAGCUUUCCCUCUGAAUUUAAAUGUGUUUUUAUUUUUUACGGAUUCUCAUUCUAUUCUUAUCGAUUGAAAUAAAAGCCUUUAACCUAUUUCCUGAAAUUGUGUAUGCAGAAUCUAUUGGAAAAUCUUAAAGAAGCAAGUUAUCUGCUGGAAGUGGUGGCUGCACCUGUAAUCCCAGCACUUUGAGAGGUGGAGAUGGGAAGCUCACAAGUUUGAACCCAGCCUGGGCCACUCAGCAACUUAGUUAGACAUGGUCUCAAAAAUUAAGGGUUGAGGAUGUAGCUCAGUGCAGAGGCCCUGAGUUCAACGCCUCCACAAAAAGCAAGUCAUCAUCCAUUGAAUUCCCAUAGAUCUGUCAACCUGGAAUGUGUAGAAUUCUGCAGUUCAUGCUGUGAUUCACAGGUAGGAAGAAAAACUCUUCGAGGACAGCAGUGCGGGUGUGCACUAAGAACAAACCUCACUCGAGUCCUGUAUGUGCCUGCACAGAGGCUGAUUCUGAAAGACACAACGAGCUGUGGGUGUUGUAAAUAAUCGCUGGGAAAAGGAGGGAAACAGCAACAGAAGCACAAGCCUUCUCCAUCCCAACCCACUCCCUCCUGGGCCUCCACCCAAGGCCCUCUGGUGCACAAGGCCUGGCCUGAGCCUGCAGGAAGGCUGGAGCCACGUGUGGACUCCACCCAGCUCAUGACGGAAGUCACCCCUCCCUCGCCACAGGUCACUGCAGCCCCCUUAGCAGCCCCGGCUCUUAUCAAAGCAAUGCCUUCCGUGCUCUUCCUGUCAUUCUGUCAAAGUCUGAGAGAGAGAGAGACCUUCUGCAAUGGAAAGGAGAUCAAGAGAUCCCCUCCCAAGGGAGGGAGGAGAAGCAAAAGGGAGUGUUAUGUGCCUAUACCACCUGC
Heterocephalus glaber (naked mole-rat) is the source of this 2962-nucleotide long non-coding RNA. RefSeq lists it as uncharacterized. The record is from RefSeq and is a predicted model, not a curated record. Lineage: Eukaryota; Metazoa; Chordata; Mammalia; Rodentia; Bathyergidae.